Non-coding RNA from Myodes glareolus (Bank vole), 764 nucleotides. NCBI's taxonomy places the organism in Eukaryota, Metazoa, Chordata, Mammalia, Rodentia, Cricetidae. The record is from RefSeq and is a predicted model, not a curated record.
CAUUUCUACAGACCCUGAAAUGGAUCUCAAUGGGCUAGAGUUGGGGUGUCAGCAGAACGAGGCUCUUUCCUGCCGGCCACAAUCCUUAGCUCCCCUGGCUUCAGAGCCAGCUCUUCAUAUUGGUCAUCCGCCUCCUCCAACAUUUAAAGGGCUCAGAAAACGAUUCUGGAUCCACCCAGAUAACCAGCCCAAGGCACCUCAGAGAAGAGCUGAGGUCAUCAGACUCCUGCUGGCCAGUCUUACAGGACAGUUUGGAAGACCAGCUGCACCCAUUGCCACGUCUUCUCGCCUACAUCGACUCCGGCCCUUCUGGCCCCUCUCCUCAGCCCAAGCCAAGUUCGUAUUGUAUCCCAAACUCUGACUCCCUCCAGAAACUCAGAGUUUAACCAAGGGACUGGGCCUCCAAACAUAAGGAGGACUGGACUCGGAGGCAGAAGAUCUGGGUGCAAACCUCAGUCCUCUACAAAAUGGGAAUGUUGACAUGCUGGACCUGCCUGGAAGAGGUGACAUGCCUGAACACUUACAUUGGAAUUAUGAAACACAAGGAAAGACUCCUACCUUCUUCUCUGUGGGACACAGUAAGCAGGCCAUGCCCAGGCUGGCAUUUCACAUACCAGCUACUGUGGAGAUCCCCACAUUUCUCUCUGUUGGGGGAUCCCCAAUAGUUGUGGGGGGAAGAACACCAGAGAACAGGGAGGAGACCAUCAGAUGGCUAGCAGCCAUAGGGUCCUGCAAAUUAGGACUUAUAAAUGCUUGAAGGGCAA